Molecule: long non-coding RNA, 859 nt
Filed under: Ananas comosus (pineapple)
Lineage: Eukaryota; Viridiplantae; Streptophyta; Magnoliopsida; Poales; Bromeliaceae
Description: long non-coding RNA (ACOM_LNC017544)
Source: RNAcentral
CAAAACACAGGGAGCAACUGGGCGUGAGAACUACUGUAAAAACAAGUAGUCCUCAGUGGGUACCGCCCUCAACAUCAUCGGCUUACCCACUAAAACUACAGUAGGAAACAAGGCUGGAAAGUAAAGCUGGAAAGAAAUCUACAGCUAUAUGCCACUACACUAUUCUACUGUAUCUAAUAUGCACUUGACCCAAUCGCAUUUCAAACUGAUUCACCACAAAUCUCAUUUGAGCUGUCCAAACGGACCCACUCUGCCUGUAAUCAGCUAUGCUGUACACCACCCCGCAAGUGGCCGGCGCAUAACUAUUUAACAGAAACUGCGACACCGAUCGCACUGAAACAUCAUUCCGGAAUGGCUCUCGUGGGCGCGACCCAACGAGAUUACUGUCAAUCUCAGGCUGCCCUCACAGGCUAAGUCAAGCAAUAGGUCUCACUGAACCACUAACCACUAUCCACGUGCCCUCGGCACAAUCAAAUCUCAAAAUGAUCAAAUCCGGGUCCACCGUCAACCACGACGGCACCCACUAGUCCAGAACAGUCUAAACAUGACUAUAAAAUAAACUCGGCAUCCCAGCACGAGUGUAACAGUAAACUAAACUACCUGGGGUACUCACAACCCGAAUACAACAACUGUAUAAAAAUACAACGGCCCCUAAGGCUAAAUCAGGUAAUUCCACAUAUGCCAGGUUCCGAACGCUGGUUUUCUCCUAUGUUUUAUCCAAGUCCCAUAUGUAUGAUUAAUAACAACUAAUAACAUGCUCCCAAUUCAGUUUAUAUGUCUAAAACAUACCUACUCAUGAAUUUGAGCUAAACAAUAACAACUUAUAAUAUUAACGAUACAUGUCGAUGAACAAUAUUAU